RNAcentral lists this ribosomal RNA (424 nucleotides) under uncultured bacterium. RNAcentral describes it as "bacterial SSU rRNA". It matches the Rfam family "Bacterial small subunit ribosomal RNA", at positions 355 to 796 of the family's 1533-position model. The record is from RNAcentral.
UGGGGAAUAUUGGACAAUGGGGGAAACCCUGAUCCAGCAAUGCCGCGUGAAUGAAGAAGGCCUUAGGGUUGUAAAGUUCUUUCACCUGUGAAGAUAAUGACGGUAGCAGGAGAAGAAGCCCCGGCUAACUCCGUGCCAGCAGCCGCGGUAAGACGGAGGGGGCUAGCGUUGUUCGGAAUGACUGGGUGUAAAGGGCGCGUAGGCGGUAUUUUAAGUGAGGCGUGAAAGCCCUGGGCUCAACCCAGGAGGUGCGUUUCAUACUGGAAUACUAGAGUACGAGAGAGGAAAGUGGAAUUCCUAGUGUAGAGGUGAAAUUCGUAGAUAUUAGGAAGAACACCAGAGGCGAAGGCGGCUUUCUGGCUCGCAACUGACGCUGAGGCGCGAAAGCGUGGGGAGCAAACAGGAUUAGAUACCCGCGUAGUCC